UGGGGAAUAUUGCACAAUGGAGGGAACUCUGAUGCAGCGACGCCGCGUGAACGAAGAAGGCUUUCGAGUCGUAAAGUUCUUUUAUAUGGGAAGAUAAUGACGGUACCAUAAGAAAAAGCCCCGGCUAACUACGUGCCAGCAGCCGCGGUAAUACGUAUGGAGCGAGCGUUGUCCGGAAUUAUUGGGCGUAAAGGGUGCGCAGGCGGCUUUACAAGUUGGAUGUGAAAUAUUGUGGCUCAACCACAAACGUGCAUCCAAAACUGCAAAGCUUGAGUUAAGGAGAGGUAAGUGGAAUUCCUGGUGUAGCGGUGGAAUGCGUAGAUAUCAGGAGGAAUACCGGUGGCGAAGGCGACUUACUGGACUUAAACUGACGCUCAGGCACGAAAGCGUGGGGAGCAAACAGG
RNAcentral lists this ribosomal RNA (404 nucleotides) under Fusobacteriota bacterium. Its description in RNAcentral is "Fusobacteria bacterium partial 16S ribosomal RNA". It matches the Rfam family "Bacterial small subunit ribosomal RNA", at positions 355 to 776 of the family's 1533-position model. Lineage: Bacteria; Fusobacteriati; Fusobacteriota. The record is from RNAcentral.